Marmota monax (woodchuck) is the source of this 2366-nucleotide long non-coding RNA. RefSeq lists it as uncharacterized. The transcript is spliced from 3 exons. The record is from RefSeq and is a predicted model, not a curated record. NCBI's taxonomy places the organism in Eukaryota, Metazoa, Chordata, Mammalia, Rodentia, Sciuridae.
UGUUACAACUUCCUUCCCUGCCCACCGCCCGGCCCCGGCGGGCGAGGGACGCGGCGAGGGGAGGGAAGCGCGCGCGGAGCGCCAAUGAGUUCACUUUCUUUUUCUCCCCCGCGCUCUCCCCCUCUCCCUUCCCGCCGGCCCCCUCCAGCCUCCUCCGCGGCUGGCGAGGCCGGCCCGGAGUUUUCGGUUCUCGGCCGGGAGCGGGAGGACAGAGGAGGCGAGGGAGGAGGAAGAAGAGGAGGGAAAGGUGAGGAGGCGAGCAGGACGCCGUGCCAGGGAGCAGCAUCCAGGACCGUAAUUGUGUGAAGGGGGGACGCUCCGGGCCGAGUGUGCCCGAGAUCAGGCGCGUACACGUGUCCGUGUGUGUGUGUGUGUGUGUGUGUGUGUGAGAGAGAGAGAGAGAGAGAGAGAGAGAGAGAGAGAGAGAGAGAGAGAGAGAGAGAAGGGGAGAGGAGCCUACCAUACGCUUCCCCCGGUGCUGAUCGCGGGAGAGCCCAAUCACAGGGCGAGCUGGACCCGGCUGUGAUCAUUUAUAAUCCUUGACUCCUCCGCUCCGCCACUUGUCAAGAUGACAGGGGUCAUCCAUGAAUAACACUUCACGCUGAUGAAUGGCUCUUGCCGGCUUUCGGCUCUGAUGAGGGGUCUGCCCGCCGCUGAUUGCAAACACUAAUGAACUUACAGCGCCAUUUGAAAUUCACACGCACCAACAAAGUGUGGGGGGUGGGCAUUUCAGGUCAGCUGAGUCACCCGAGGAGGUGGGAGUGCAAGACACUGCCGGGAAGAUGGAUUCCGAGGCAGAAGGGUAUAAUUAAGGAUUGCCACCCCCGGUAGGCGGCCCGUCCUUCACAGAGCAUCUGAAAAUGACCUGCGCCUUUCCUUCCAGAGUGUCCUCUCCUCCGAGACUGAAAAGCGCAAAUGACCUUCGGACAGGGGAGGGCUGCACUAAACCCUUAGACUUCCUUACAAGCCCGAGCUCUGCACUGUCUAAAACAAGUGCUCGCCUCCGGGUUCAAGUACCUCCAACAAGUAUGAACUGGCGAGGGGCGCACUCUAGAGUCCUCUAAAGCCUCCAACCCCACUUUCCCCACUCUCUCUCCCCCCCAUCCCCCGCCUCUUUCUCCAGUCUUUCCUUAGUUUUGUAGCCCAACACUGCCCCUGCCUCAAUUUUGUUUGCUGUGGGAGGGGGAAAAAGUUUACUGCUGUCCGCGGCAAUGCCACUUUCUAUUCACUUUGGUUCCCAUCAAAACUAGCUCCGGGAUCCCAGCCUUCCAAAGCCCCCUCCCUCGCCGCCGCCGCUGGCGAGCAGAAAGCCCUGCAGGAGAGCAUUUUAAAUUGCCCGAAGUUCCCACUGUUCGGAGUUUUAGAGCACCAAACCCCGCGACCUUCACAGAGCCGCUCACUGGCUUCCCAGCCCCUUGCCACUACCAGGCACCUUUCCGUUCGCUUCUGCAGGGGCCGGGGUGGGGAGUGUGAGCUUGGGGAGGAGGAGUGCGCGUGGCUCCCGGUGGGGCGCCGGAGCGUCUCCCCGCCCUCCGCUGGGACCCGCCGCCAGCCUGCGGGUAGAGUCAGUGUCCCGGCCUCCCCGGGCCGCCGCCAACCCCUACCUCUCCCCAGCUGCGUAGCAGAAGAACUGAUGCGCUCCGAGCCUUCUCAUUCACCUUCCACGUUCUAAGAGCAGAGGAUUCUACCAACCUGUACCUAACCUGACUCCGCCGGAGAGACAGACAUUUGUAUUUUUAACUGCGUGCAGAACAAGAUCAAAUCUAGCAUUCGCGAAAAGAAGGACGACGCCUCCAAGGAGAGCCUGCACUUUUAUGAUAGUUUCUCCAAAGUUUGGGUAGAAUUAAAGAAAAGAAUCCUUGAGAGCGAAUUACCGUGCCCAGACUCAUACAUAGUCUUGAGUUCCCGAAGUUGCUAAGUGAGCCAGCGCACCGCAACGCGUUGAGAAGUACCAUUAAUAAGCAAACCCGACCCCGCUCCUGGGUGCUAAUGAUGCAAAACACCCCCACACACGUUUUUGGGAACAGUCCUGCUGCACGAAUUUCACACUUAAAAAAAAAUAAGGUUGUGGGGUCGGAUGAAUUAUAUCUCCCUCUCAUUCUAACCAUUCUCAUUAUCUUUAAAAAUGUCAAUUGUGAAGAUAUACCUCAGAUAUUACAAGAUGACCAGGCCAACUGCUCAAAAUUUGCAUCUCUAACAUGAUCAUAAGGAAACUCUUAGGAUGCUUAAUAAAUCACUUUUGUGGUCCAUUUCUCACAAAUAUAUUUUAAGUGUUUAAAACUUUACAAAUGUCUGAGUAAAACUCUCCUUGCUCUUUUGUACCUUGCUAAGUAAGAAUACACAAUAAAGGGAAAAGACUGCCUUUA